UACGUAGGGUGCAAGCGUUAAUCGGAAUUACUGGGCGUAAAGCGUGCGCAGGCGGUUUUGUAAGUCUGUCGUGAAAGCCCCGGGCUCAACCUGGGAAUUGCGAUGGAGACUGCAAGGCUUGAAUCUGGCAGAGGGGGGUAGAAUUCCACGUGUAGCAGUGAAAUGCGUAGAGAUGUGGAGGAACACCGAUGGCGAAGGCAGGCC
RNAcentral lists this ribosomal RNA (204 nucleotides) under uncultured bacterium. RNAcentral describes it as "partial 16S ribosomal RNA". It matches the Rfam family "Bacterial small subunit ribosomal RNA", at positions 524 to 727 of the family's 1533-position model. The record is from RNAcentral.